GCGAACGGGUGAGUAAUACAUCGGAACGUGCCCGAUCGUGGGGGAUAACGAAGCGAAAGCUUUGCUAAUACCGCAUACGAUCUACGGAUGAAAGCAGGGGACCGCAAGGCCUUGCGCGAACGGAGCGGCCGAUGGCAGAUUAGGUAGUUGGUGGGAUAAAAGCUUACCAAGCCGACGAUCUGUAGCUGGUCUGAGAGGACGACCAGCCACACUGGGACUGAGACACGGCCCAGACUCCUACGGGAGGCAGCAGUGGGGAAUUUUGGACAAUGGGCGAAAGCCUGAUCCAGCCAUGCCGCGUGCAGGAUGAAGGCCUUCGGGUUGUAAACUGCUUUUGUACGGAACGAAAAGACUCUGGUUAAUACCUGGGGUCCAUGACGGUACCGUAAGAAUAAGCACCGGCUAACUACGUGCCAGCAGCCGCGGUAAUACGUAGGGUGCAAGCGUUAAUCGGAAUUACUGGGCGUAAAGCGUGCGCAGGCGGUUAUAUAAGACAGAUGUGAAAUCCCCGGGCUCAACCUGGGAACUGCAUUUGUGACUGUAUAGCUAGAGUACGGCAGAGGGGGAUGGAAUUCCGCGUGUAGCAGUGAAAUGCGUAGAUAUGCGGAGGAACACCGAUGGCGAAGGCAAUCCCCUGGGCCUGUACUGACGCUCAUGCACGAAAGCGUGGGGAGCAAACA
This 680-nucleotide ribosomal RNA is filed under the name Acidovorax delafieldii. Its description in RNAcentral is "bacterial SSU rRNA". It matches the Rfam family "Bacterial small subunit ribosomal RNA", at positions 98 to 774 of the family's 1533-position model. The record is from RNAcentral. Lineage: Bacteria; Pseudomonadati; Pseudomonadota; Betaproteobacteria; Burkholderiales; Comamonadaceae.